Molecule: ribosomal RNA, 253 nt
Filed under: uncultured bacterium
Lineage: Bacteria
Description: partial 16S ribosomal RNA
Rfam family: Bacterial small subunit ribosomal RNA
Source: RNAcentral
GACAGAGGGUGCUAGCGUUGUUCGGAAUUACUGGGCGUAAAGGGCGCGUAGGCGGCUCGUUUAGUCGGGUGUGAAAUCCCGGGGCUCAACCCCGGAACUGCAUUCGAUACUGGCGGGCUAGAGACCGGAAGAGGUGGGUGGAAUACCCAGUGUAGAGGUGAAAUUCGUAGAUAUUGGGAAGAACACCCGUGGCGAAGGCGGCUCUCUGGGACGGUACUGACGCUGAGACGCGAAAGCGUGGGGAGCGAACAGG